GAUUAAGUUAUUAAGGGCGCACGGUGGAUGCCUUGGCACUAGAAGCCGAUGAAGGACGUUACUAACGACGAUAUGCUUUGGGGAGCUGUAAGUAAGCUUUGAUCCAGAGAUUUCCGAAUGGGGAAACCCAGCAUGAGUUAUGUCAUGUUAUCGAUAUGUGAAUACAUAGCAUAUCAGAAGGCACACCCGGAGAACUGAAACAUCUUAGUACCCGGAGGAAGAGAAAGAAAAUUCGAUUCCCUUAGUAGCGGCGAGCGAAACGGGAAGAGCCCAAACCAACAAGCUUGCUUGUUGGGGUUGUAGGACACUCUAUACGGAGUUACAAAGGACGACAUUAGACGAAUCAUCUGGAAAGAUGAAUCAAAGAAGGUAAUAAUCCUGUAGUCGAAAAUGUUGUCUCUCUUGAGUGGAUCCUGAGUACGACGGAGCACGUGAAAUUCCGUCGGAAUCUGGGAGGACCAUCUCCUAAGGCUAAAUACUCUCUAGUGACCGAUAGUGAACCAGUACCGUGAGGGAAAGGUGAAAAGCACCCCGGAAGGGGAGUGAAAUAGAACCUGAAACCGUGUGCUUACAAGUAGUCAGAGCCCGUUAAUGGGUGAUGGCGUGCCUUUUGUAGAAUGAACCGGCGAGUUACGAUUUGAUGCAAGGUUAAGCAGUAAAUGUGGAGCCGUAGCGAAAGCGAGUCUGAAUAGGGCGUUUAGUAUUUGGUCGUAGACCCGAAACCAGGUGAUCUACCCUUGGUCAGGUUGAAGUUCAGGUAACACUGAAUGGAGGACCGAACCGACUUACGUUGAAAAGUGAGCGGAUGAACUGAGGGUAGCGGAGAAAUUCCAAUCGAACCUGGAGAUAGCUGGUUCUCUCCGAAAUAGCUUUAGGGCUAGCCUCAAGUGAUGAUUAUUGGAGGUAGAGCACUGUUUGGACGAGGGGCCCCUCUCGGGUUACCGAAUUCAGACAAACUCCGAAUGCCAAUUAAUUUAACUUGGGAGUCAGAACAUGGGUGAUAAGGUCCGUGUUCGAAAGGGAAACAGCCCAGACCACCAGCUAAGGUCCCAAAAUAUAUGUUAAGUGGAAAAGGAUGUGGCGUUGCCCAGACAACUAGGAUGUUGGCUUAGAAGCAGCCAUCAUUUAAAGAGUGCGUAAUAGCUCACUAGUCGAGUGACACUGCGCCGAAAAUGUACCGGGGCUAAACAUAUUACCGAAGCUGUGGAUUGUCCUUUGGACAAUGGUAGGAGAGCGUUAUAAGGGCGUUGAAGCAUGAUCGUAAGGACAUGUGGAGCGCUUAGAAGUGAGAAUGCCGGUGUGAGUAGCGAAAGACGGGUGAGAAUCCCGUCCACCGAUUGACUAAGGUUUCCAGAGGAAGGCUCGUCCGCUCUGGGUUAGUCGGGUCCUAAGCUGAGGCCGACAGGCGUAGGCGAUGGAUAACAGGUUGAUAUUCCUGUACCACCUAUAAUCGUUUUAAUCGAUGGGGGGACGCAGUAGGAUAGGCGAAGCGUGCGAUUGGAUUGCACGUCUAAGCAGUAAGGCUGAGUAUUAGGCAAAUCCGGUACUCGUUAAGGCUGAGCUGUGAUGGGGAGAAGACAUUGUGUCUUCGAGUCGUUGAUUUCACACUGCCGAGAAAAGCCUCUAGAUAGAAAAUAGGUGCCCGUACCGCAAACCGACACAGGUAGUCAAGAUGAGAAUUCUAAGGUGAGCGAGCGAACUCUCGUUAAGGAACUCGGCAAAAUGACCCCGUAACUUCGGGAGAAGGGGUGCUCUUUAGGGUUAACGCCCAGAAGAGCCGCAGUGAAUAGGCCCAAGCGACUGUUUAUCAAAAACACAGGUCUCUGCUAAACCGUAAGGUGAUGUAUAGGGGCUGACGCCUGCCCGGUGCUGGAAGGUUAAGAGGAGUGGUUAGCUUCUGCGAAGCUACGAAUCGAAGCCCCAGUAAACGGCGGCCGUAACUAUAACGGUCCUAAGGUAGCGAAAUUCCUUGUCGGGUAAGUUCCGACCCGCACGAAAGGCGUAACGAUUUGGGCACUGUCUCAACGAGAGACUCGGUGAAAUCAUAGUACCUGUGAAGAUGCAGGUUACCCGCGACAGGACGGAAAGACCCCGUGGAGCUUUACUGUAGCCUGAUAUUGAAAUUCGGCACAGCUUGUACAGGAUAGGUAGGAGCCUUUGAAACGUGAGCGCUAGCUUACGUGGAGGCGCUGGUGGGAUACUACCCUAGCUGUGUUGGCUUUCUAACCCGCACCACUUAUCGUGGUGGGAGACAGUGUCAGGCGGGCAGUUUGACUGGGGCGGUCGCCUCCUAAAAGGUAACGGAGGCGCUCAAAGGUUCCCUCAGAAUGGUUGGAAAUCAUUCAUAGAGUGUAAAGGCAUAAGGGAGCUUGACUGCGAGACCUACAAGUCGAGCAGGGUCGAAAGACGGACUUAGUGAUCCGGUGGUUCCGCAUGGAAGGGCCAUCGCUCAACGGAUAAAAGCUACCCCGGGGAUAACAGGCUUAUCUCCCCCAAGAGUUCACAUCGACGGGGAGGUUUGGCACCUCGAUGUCGGCUCAUCGCAUCCUGGGGCUGUAGUCGGUCCCAAGGGUUGGGCUGUUCGCCCAUUAAAGCGGUACGCGAGCUGGGUUCAGAACGUCGUGAGACAGUUCGGUCCCUAUCCGUCGUGGGCGUAGGAAAUUUGAGAGGAGCUGUCCUUAGUACGAGAGGACCGGGAUGGACAUACCUCUGGUGUACCAGUUGUCGUGCCAACGGCAUAGCUGGGUAGCUAUGUGUGGACGGGAUAAGUGCUGAAAGCAUCUAAGCAUGAAGCCCCCCUCAAGAUGAGAUUUCCCAACUUCGGUUAUAAGAUCCCUCAAAGAUGAUGAGGUUAAUAGGUUCGAGGUGGAAGCAUGGUGACAUGUGGAGCUGACGAAUACUAAUCGAUCGAAGACUUAAUCAA
RNAcentral lists this ribosomal RNA (2923 nucleotides) under Staphylococcus aureus. RNAcentral's name for it is "23S ribosomal RNA". It matches the Rfam family "Bacterial large subunit ribosomal RNA". Lineage: Bacteria; Bacillati; Bacillota; Bacilli; Caryophanales; Staphylococcaceae. The record is from RNAcentral.